This 553-nucleotide ribosomal RNA is filed under the name uncultured archaeon. RNAcentral describes it as "bacterial SSU rRNA". It matches the Rfam family "Archaeal small subunit ribosomal RNA", at positions 325 to 879 of the family's 1478-position model. The record is from RNAcentral.
ACGGGGUGCAGCAGGCGAGAAAACUUUGCAAUGUGCGAAGGCACGACAAGGUUAAUCCGAGUGAUUCCUGCUAAAGGAAUCUUUUGUUAGUCAUAAAACCACUAAUGAAUAAGGGGUGGGCAAGUUCUGGUGUCAGCCGCCGCGGUAAAACCAGCACCUCAAGUGGUCAGGAUGAUUAUUGGGCCUAAAGCAUCCGUAGCCGGCUUUGUUAGUUUUCGGUUAAAUCCAUAUGCUCAACAUAUGGGCCGCCGGGAAUACUACAAAGCUAGGGAGUGGGAGGGGUAGACGGUACUCGGGAGGAAGGGGUAAAAUCCUUUGAUCUAUGGAUGACCACCAGUGGCGAAGGCGGUCUACCAGAACACGUUCGACGGUGAGGGAUGAAAGCUGGAGGAGCAAACUGGAUUAGAUACCCGGGUAGUCCCAGCUGUAAACUAUGCAAACUCAGUGAUGCAUUGGCUUGUGGCCAGUGCAGUGCCGCAGAGAAGUCGUUAAGUUUGCCGCCUGGGAAGUACGUACGCAAGUAUGAAACUUAAAGGAAUUGGCGGGGGAGCAC